This 1376-nucleotide ribosomal RNA is filed under the name Yersinia enterocolitica. RNAcentral describes it as "partial 23S ribosomal RNA". It matches the Rfam family "Bacterial large subunit ribosomal RNA", at positions 1574 to 2925 of the family's 2925-position model. The record is from RNAcentral. Lineage: Bacteria; Pseudomonadati; Pseudomonadota; Gammaproteobacteria; Enterobacterales; Yersiniaceae.
GCACUACGGUGCAGAAGUAGUUGAUGCCAUGCUUCCAGGAAAAGCCUCUAAGCAUCAGGUAACAUGAAAUCGUACCCCAAACCGACACAGGUGGUCAGGUAGAGAAUACUCAGGCGCUUGAGAGAACUCGGGUGAAGGAACUAGGCAAAAUGGUGCCGUAACUUCGGGAGAAGGCACGCUGGCAUUAGGUAAAGGGACUUGCUCCCGGCGCCGAAGCCAGUCGCAGAUACCAGCUGGCUGCAACUGUUUAAUAAAAACACAGCACUGUGCAAACACGAAAGUGGACGUAUACGGUGUGACGCCUGCCCGGUGCUGGAAGGUUAAUUGAUGGGGUCAGCCGCAAGGCGAAGCUCUUGAUCGAAGCCCCAGUAAACGGCGGCCGUAACUAUAACGGUCCUAAGGUAGCGAAAUUCCUUGUCGGGUAAGUUCCGACCUGCACGAAUGGCGUAAUGAUGGCCAGGCUGUCUCCACCCGAGACUCAGUGAAAUUGAACUCGCUGUGAAGAUGCAGUGUACCCGCGGCAAGACGGAAAGACCCCGUGAACCUUUACUAUAGCUUGACACUGAACAUUGAGCCUUGAUGUGUAGGAUAGGUGGGAGGCAUAGAAGUGUGGACGCCAGUCUGCAUGGAGCCAACCUUGAAAUACCACCCUUUAAUGUUUGAUGUUCUAACUCGGCCCCGUAAUCCGGGGUGAGGACAGUGUCUGGUGGGUAGUUUGACUGGGGCGGUCUCCUCCCAAAGAGUAACGGAGGAGCACGAAGGUUAGCUAAUCACGGUCGGACAUCGUGAGGUUAGUGCAAAGGCAUAAGCUAGCUUGACUGCGAGAGUGACGGCUCGAGCAGGUACGAAAGUAGGUCUUAGUGAUCCGGUGGUUCUGAAUGGAAGGGCCAUCGCUCAACGGAUAAAAGGUACUCCGGGGAUAACAGGCUGAUACCGCCCAAGAGUUCAUAUCGACGGCGGUGUUUGGCACCUCGAUGUCGGCUCAUCACAUCCUGGGGCUGAAGUAGGUCCCAAGGGUAUGGCUGUUCGCCAUUUAAAGUGGUACGCGAGCUGGGUUUAGAACGUCGUGAGACAGUUCGGUCCCUAUCUGCCGUGGGCGUUGGAAGAUUGAGAGGGGCUGCUCCUAGUACGAGAGGACCGGAGUGGACGAAUCACUGGUGUUCGGGUUGUCAUGCCAAUGGCAUUGCCCGGUAGCUAAAUUCGGAAGAGAUAACCGCUGAAAGCAUCUAAGCGGGAAACUUGCCUCGAGAUGAGUCUUCCCUGGGGCUUUAAGCCCCCUGAAGGAACGUUAAAGACGAUGACGUUGAUAGGCUGGGUGUGUAAGUGCAGCGAUGCAUUGAGCUAACCAGUACUAAUGAACCGUGAGGCUUAACCUU